AACGAACGCUGGCGGCAUGCCUAACACAUGCAAGUCGAACGAGACCUUCGGGUCUAGUGGCGCACGGGUGCGUAACGCGUGGGAACCUGCCCUUAGGUUCGGAAUAACUCCCCGAAAGGGGUGCUAAUACCGGAUAAUGUCUUCGGACCAAAGAUUUAUCGCCUUUGGAUGGGCCCGCGUUGGAUUAGCUAGUUGGUAGGGUAAAAGCCUACCAAGGCGACGAUCCAUAGCUGGUCUGAGAGGAUGAUCAGCCACACUGGGGCUGAGACACGGCCCAGACUCCUACGGGAGGCAGCAGUGGGGAAUAUUGGACAAUGGGCGUAAGCCUGAUCCAGCAAUGCCGCGUGAGUGAUGAAGGCCUUAGGGUUGUAAAGCUCUUUUACCCGGGAUGAUAAUGACAGUACCGGGAGAAUAAGCUCCGGCUAACUCCGUG
Molecule: ribosomal RNA, 433 nt
Filed under: uncultured bacterium
Lineage: Bacteria
Description: partial 16S ribosomal RNA
Rfam family: Bacterial small subunit ribosomal RNA
Source: RNAcentral